Molecule: ribosomal RNA, 253 nt
Filed under: uncultured bacterium
Lineage: Bacteria
Description: partial 16S ribosomal RNA
Rfam family: Bacterial small subunit ribosomal RNA
Source: RNAcentral
UACGUAGGGUGCGAGCGUUGCCCGGAUUUAUUGGGCGUAAAGGGCGCGUAGGCGGCCACGUGCGUCCGUUGUGAAAUCGCCCGGCUCAACUGGGCGGGGUCAGCGGAUACGGCGUGGCUGGAGCAAGCUAGGGGGCAAUGGAAUUCCCGGUGUAGUGGUGAAAUGCGUAGAGAUCAUGAGGAAGACCAGUGGCGAAGGCGGGUCUCUGGACAGUUCCUGACACUGAGACACGAAGGCCAGGGGAGCAAACGGG